CGGCUGACAUGGCGGCCGGGCCGGCGUCGGCGCGGCGCCGGGGGGCGGCCGGGGGGCGCAGGUGGCCCCGCACGUGGCUCUUGAGGGCGGCCAGGUUGAAGAGCCGCUUGCCGCAGGCGCCGCAGCCGUAGACGCCCGUCUGGUGGCUCUCGCGGUGGUUCACCAGGCUGCCGGCGUGGCGGUAGGUGCGGCCGCACUGGGCGCAGCGGAAGGGCCGGGCUUCGGCCUCCGCCGCCGCCGCCRCCUCCUCCUCCUCCUCCUCCUCUUUGUGCAGCUCUUCUUCAUCCUCCUCCUCGUCGUCAUCGUCAUCAUCGUCGUGGUGCCGCUCGAAGGCGGCCGGAGCCGCCGCCGCCUCGGCCAGGUAGCGCCGCAGGUUGCGCAGGAGGCGCCCGGCCGCCGCCAUACUGGGAGGGGGGGAGGUGUCCGGUGAGGGGAGGGGGCCCAGGCGUCCGGGAGGGGCCCAGGCGUCCGGGAGGGGCCCAGGAGUCCGGGAAGGACCCAGGCGUCCGGGGGGGCCCAGGCGUCCGGGAAGGGACCCAGGAGUCCGGGAAGGGCCCAGGUGUCCGGGGAGGGAGCCAGGUGUCUGCGGAAAAGCGCCAGGCUCAGGUCAGCCCAAGGAACCCAGGUGUCCGGGGAAGGGCUCAGACAUCCGGGAAGGGCUCAGGAAUCCGGGAGGGGCCCAGGCGUCCAGGGACGGACCCAGGUGUCCAGGAAGGACCCAGGCGUCUGGGAGGGACCCAGGAAUCUGGGAGGGGCCCAGGAAUCCAGGAAGGACCCAGGUGUCCGGGAGGGGCCCAGGCGUCCGGGUGGGACCCAGGUGUCCGACUUUGGCCCCUCCCCCCCAGCAGCUCCAGGGGGCCCAGGCAUCCGGGUGCCCCCCCACGUCGUACCUGGGGGCUCCGCCGGCGUCCCACGAUGCACCAGGCUCCUCGGUUCCCGGUUGGGGGGGGGCUGGAAGGAGAAGGAUUAAAUUGAGGAAAGUGAAACCCAAAUUUCUCAUGUUCCUCCCCAAAACCGUGGGGGGUCCAACCCCCACCGAGAGAAGAACCCCCCCCAACCUACCCCAAAAGCCBCCAAUUCUCCCCCAAAACGGGGUUGUCGCACCCCCCCCCCAAGCAGGAAUCUUCUCC
RNAcentral lists this long non-coding RNA (1130 nucleotides) under Apteryx rowi (Okarito brown kiwi). RNAcentral describes it as "lncRNA (ENSARWG00000014667.1)". Lineage: Eukaryota; Metazoa; Chordata; Aves; Apterygiformes; Apterygidae. The record is from RNAcentral.